Molecule: ribosomal RNA, 465 nt
Filed under: Vreelandella stevensii
Lineage: Bacteria; Pseudomonadati; Pseudomonadota; Gammaproteobacteria; Oceanospirillales; Halomonadaceae
Description: partial 16S ribosomal RNA
Rfam family: Bacterial small subunit ribosomal RNA
Source: RNAcentral
CCUACGGGUGGCUGCAGUGGGGAAUAUUGGACAAUGGGCGAAAGCCUGAUCCAGCCAUGCCGCGUGUGUGAAGAAGGCCUUCGGGUUGUAAAGCACUUUCAGUGGGGAAGAAAGCCUUGGGGCUAAUACCCUCGAGGAAGGACAUCACCCACAGAAGAAGCACCGGCUAACUCCGUGCCAGCAGCCGCGGUAAUACGGAGGGUGCGAGCGUUAAUCGGAAUUACUGGGCGUAAAGCGCGCGUAGGCGGUCUGAUAAGCCGGUUGUGAAAGCCCCGGGCUCAACCUGGGAACGGCAUCCGGAACUGUCAGGCUAGAGUGCAGGAGAGGAAGGUAGAAUUCCCUGUGUAGCGGUGAAAUGCGUAGAGAUCGGGAGGAAUACCAGUGGCGAAGGCGGCCUUCUGGACUGACACUGACGCUGAGGUGCGAAAGCGUGGGUAGCAAACAGGAUUAGAUACCCGGGUAGUC